GGACUACCAGGGUAUCUAAUCCUGUUUGCUCCCCACGCUUUCGCGCCUCAGCGUCAGUAAAGGACCAGGUUGCCGCCUUCGCCACCGGUGUUCUUCCCAAUAUCUACGAAUUUCACCUCUACACUGGGAAUUCCACAACCCUCUUCCUCACUCCAGAUCAUACGUAUCAAAUGCAGCCCCCAAGUUAAGCUCGGGAAUUUCACAUCUGACUGUACCAUCCGCCUACGCGCCCUUUACGCCCAGUCAUUCCGAGCAACGCUAGCCCCCUUCGUAUUACCGCGGCUGCUGGCAC
RNAcentral lists this ribosomal RNA (292 nucleotides) under uncultured bacterium. RNAcentral's name for it is "partial 16S ribosomal RNA". The record is from RNAcentral.